This 74-nucleotide transfer RNA is filed under the name uncultured Actinomycetes bacterium. Its description in RNAcentral is "uncultured actinobacterium tRNA-Arg". It matches the Rfam family "tRNA". Rfam says of the family: Transfer RNA (tRNA) molecules are approximately 80 nucleotides in length. RNAcentral also lists the same sequence under 1 other name. Lineage: Bacteria; Bacillati; Actinomycetota; Actinomycetes. The record is from RNAcentral.
GCGCCCGUAGCUCAACGGAUAGAGCAUCUGACUACGGAUCAGAAGGUUCGGGGUUCGAAUCCCUGCGGGCGCAC